CGCAUCUGUGCAUGCAGCAUAUCAAUAAGCGGAGGAAAAGUAAUGCUGUAUACCUACGCUUAGGAUGUUGACGAGACUGUCGAUCCUCAUCCUAUACAUGACUCUGUGCAUAUCAAUAAGCGGAGGAAAAGAAACUAACAAGGAUUCCCUAGUAACGGCGAGUGAAGCGGGAAGAGCUCAAAUUUGAAAUCUUAAAGGUUUUCCCUUGACGAAUUGUAGUUUAAAGAAGUGUUUUCUGUUGAAGUUUUGGUAAAAGUUCUUUGGAAUAGGACAUCAUAGAGGGUGAGAAUCCCGUAUUUGACCAUUAUUUUCAGCUUUGUGAUACACUUUCAAAGAGUCGGAUUGUUUGGGAAUGCAGUCCAAAAUGGGUGGUAAAUUUCAUCUAAAGCUAAAUAUUGGCGAGAGACCGAUAGCGAACAAGUACCGUGAGGGAAAGAUGAAAGAACUUUGAAAAGAGAGUUAAACAGUACGUGAAAUUGUCAAAAGGGAAGCGUUUGACACCAGUGUUGUUUUUCUCGAAAAUCAAUUAAAAAUGGCUCGAUUUUGUAUUGCUGAGACCUUAAAAGCUCACUGUACAUUUUUCGUGUCUUUUUUAAUGCACUUUUCGUUUAACAAGUCAACAUCAGUUUCUUUUGUUGUAAAAGGGUCAUUGGAAGGUGGCUUUCUUUUCGGAGAAAGUGUUUAUAGCCUUUGGCCUCUGCAAUCGGAGAGACUGAGGUCUGCAGCGUAGACUCUUCGGGGUUAGAUACAUUUGUGCUAAGUUAUAGCAUUUUAUAGACAACUUGUUGACUAUGAUUAGUCUUGUAGCUUACUCGCUUAUGCUAUUUUACCUACGCUUAGGAUGUUGAUAGUCACAGCGUGUAC
Molecule: ribosomal RNA, 864 nt
Filed under: uncultured Neocallimastigales
Lineage: Eukaryota; Fungi; Neocallimastigomycota; Neocallimastigomycetes; Neocallimastigales
Description: partial large subunit ribosomal RNA
Rfam family: Eukaryotic large subunit ribosomal RNA
Source: RNAcentral